RNAcentral lists this ribosomal RNA (253 nucleotides) under uncultured bacterium. Its description in RNAcentral is "partial 16S ribosomal RNA". It matches the Rfam family "Bacterial small subunit ribosomal RNA", at positions 524 to 776 of the family's 1533-position model. The record is from RNAcentral.
UACGUAGGCAGCGAGCGUUGUUCGGAAUUACUGGGCGUAAAGAGUGUGUAGGCGGUGUUCCAAGUCUGGUGUGAAAUCUCCCGGCUCAACUGGGAGGGUGCGCCGAAUACUGAAAGACUAGAGUGCGGGAGAGGAAAGUGGAAUUCCUGGUGUAGCGGUGAAAUGCGUAGAUAUCAGGAGGAACACCUGUGGCGAAAGCGGCUCACUGGACCAUUACUGACGCUGAUGCACGAAAGCUAGGGGAGCAAACAGG